CGUAGGGUGCGAGCGUUAAUCGGAAUUACUGGGCGUAAAGCGUGCGCAGGCGGUUUAGUAAGACAGGCGUGAAAUCCCCGGGCUCAACCUGGGAACUGCGCUUGUGACUGCUAAGCUGGAGUACGGCAGAGGGGGGUGGAAUUCCACGUGUAGCAGUGAAAUGCGUAGAGAUGUGGAGGAACACCAAUGGCGAAGGCAGCCCCCUGGGUCGAUACUGACGCUCAUGCACGAAAGCGUGGGUAGCAAACAGGAUUAGAUACCCUGGUAGUCCACGCCCUAAACGAUGUCAACUAGGUGUUGGGAGGGUAAAACCUUUUAGUACCGGAGCUAACGCGUGAAGUUGACCGCCUGGGGAGUACGGCCGCAAGGUUA
RNAcentral lists this ribosomal RNA (372 nucleotides) under uncultured organism. RNAcentral describes it as "bacterial SSU rRNA". It matches the Rfam family "Bacterial small subunit ribosomal RNA", at positions 526 to 896 of the family's 1533-position model. The record is from RNAcentral.